CAGGCAUGGGCCACUGUGCCCAGCCUAUUAUCUGUAUUUUUAAUUUAACAUAGUUUAUUUUUAAAAUACAUGUUUUCAUCAGAUACAGGAGUCUCUGCUAAACUGUCUUUAUCUGAAUAAUUCAAGUGCAAGGGAAUUAUCGUACAAUCUAUUCUGUGUGUCUUAUUACUGAUUGUCAAAAAGUUCUUUUUUAUUUGAACCAGAAGGGUACUGACUUUUAAAUUCCUCCAGUCUCUCCACUCCAUCCUCUGGAAGAACACUUAACAAAUAGAUCUGUGUCUGUUGUUUAUCCCAAAAAUGAGGACAGUUGUGUCGUUGUUAUUAUCAUUUAGCCUAAAUUUUAGUAUAAACAGGUCUUAAAUAAUUUCUUCUUCUGUGACAUGAUUUCCAGAUCCUUUCAGUACUGUGGUCAUUAUUACAACAACAUAACAAUAAAAGCUCAUAUUUACGCAUUUAUUGAAAAAUUUGCUAUCACUUCAUUAUGAUGGUUCUCCCAUGGGUUGAAUUGAACACGGGAUUUCUCAUUCUACAAUGAGAACACAGACACUUCAGUACCUUCUUGACUUAAAUAACUGCUUAGACAUUCUAGACUCUGUGGUCCUGGACAGUACCCAGAAUGAAAUCUUUAGGGACAUGUUUACCUCGUAUGUUUCCUAUUCUGUAAAAUAUCCGCCAUCACAAUCACUCACACUUCUAUGUCCUUUGAACUUCAGAACAACUCCAUGAGGUAGGUGGCAGUAUUGUUAUUAGCAAUGUUCAGAAAGGCCACGGAUCCCAGCUAGUAGGUAAUUAAGCUGGCUUUUAAAACAGUUGUGAAAUUUAUCAAAUAUAUGGAGACGUGUAAAACAUACAUAUAAAUAAAUAUAUUAAAAUGAACAUCUUAACUUACUACCCAGCUAAAGAAAUGAAGCAUUACCAAACUUAGAAGGCCCUUGUAUGACCUUCCAAAGAGAAUAUCUUCCUCUCUCCCUCUCAGAGGUAGCCUUAUCCUAAUUUUUUGUUAGCAAUUCCCUUGCAUUUUUUUGUUUUGAUUUGUUUUAUAUGUACUUAUCCCCAAAUUAAUUUUGUGUUUGGCUAUUUUUGUUCUUUAUAUAAAUUUUAAGCAUAUGUUUAUAUUCACAUAUCUUGCUAGUUUCACUCAGCUUCAUAUUCAUUAGAAGCACCCAUGUUGACAUCUGUAAUUAAGGGUCAUUUAUUUCCAUUUCUGUGGUAUUCCAUUAUAUGCAAUUUAUGUAUCCAUUUUAUAGCUGACAUUGUUUGGGCUGUUUCUAAUUUUGUUGUUGUUUUGUUUUUUAAGAGACAGGUUCUCGCUCUGUUGCCCAGGCUGGAGUGCAGUGGCACGAUCAUUGCCCAUUGCAGCCUCAAACUCCUGAGCUCAAGCAAUCCUCCUGCCUCAGCCUCCCGAGUAGUUGGGACUACAUGUACACCACUAAAUCUGGCUAAUUUUUAAAAUUUUAUUCUAAUGUUUUGAUUUUUGUUCAUACCUCCGUACAUAGUACAGAAGGAAUAAUUCCCUUAAUUGCAGGAAUUUUAUUAUCCUUGGCCUCCUGCCAACUUAAUGAUGGUAGAACUGUGUGUUGUAUGUGUGUCUCCACACACCACUGCCCUAAAUAGUGGGGCAGGUGACACUAUUCAGCUCAGGUGGAGAAUCACUUCUCUAGAGUAGAAGUGCUGGGUGUCAGUGUUCAACAUGACUGAAUAAUGCCAGACUGCUUCCACAGUGGCUGUCAUGGGUCACUUGCUUAUCUGCAUCUCCUUUAAUAUCUGAUAUUGUCUGAUUUUUAAUCCUUUGCCAAAUGUGGGGUGUCUGAAAUGGUAUCAGGCGAGUUUCAUUUGCCUCGCUCUGAUUACUAAUGAAGUUGAAACACCUUUUUGCAUGCUUAUAGUAAAUUUUUGUGGUUUUGUUUUGUCAAAUAUCUAUGAAUGCUCCUUGUCCAGUUUUUUAGUUGUUUAUUUUAGAAGUUUAAAAAUGCUGUAUAUGUUCUAGAUCAGUGCUGUCCAAAGAGAACUUUCUGAGAUGAUGAUGUUCCAUAUUAGGGCAAGUAGAGUAGCUACCAGCCAUGUAUGACUACCGAGUAACUGAAAUGUGUCUAGAGCUACUGAUAAUUAAAUUUUAAAUAAAAUAGCUACAUGUGGCUGGUAGUUACCAUAUUAGGUUGCUGUGCAGAUUUAUGAUUCGUAAAUAAGUCCUUUUAGUUUUUGCCUUCCUUGUCUUUUCAUCUCAUUUUAUUGUUUUUAUGUUUUGUUUGGUUUUGAGAUAGGGUUUUGCUCUGUCACUCCAGUUUGAGUGCUUGGUGCAAUCACAGCUCACUACAGCCUCCACCUUUGGGGCUCAAGCAUUCCUCCCGCUUCAGCCUCCCAAAUAGCUGGGACCACAGGCAGGCACCACCAUGCCCAGUUCAUUUUUGUAUUUUUUGUGGAGACAGGGUUUCUCCACGUUGCCCAGGCUGGUCUUGAACUCCUGAGCUCAAGCAAUCCACCAUCCUUGCCCUCCCCAAAGUACUGCGAUUACAGGCAUGAGCCACUGCAGCUGGCCUCAUUUUAUCUUUUAAAGAAUUAACGUUUUAAUUUUAACUCAGUUUUUUAAAAAAUCGAUCUUUAGACAUAAAGAUAUUCUCCUAUACUGCCUUCUAAAACUUCUGCCUCUCUCACUUAAGACUUCUUUUUGUUUGUUUGUUUGUUUUGAGAUGGAGUCUUGCUCUGUCACCCAGGCUGGAGUGCAGUGGCACGAUCUCAGCUCACUGCAACCUCCGCCUCCUGGGUUCAAGGGAUUCUUCUGCCCUUAGCCUCCCGAGGAGCCGGGACUACAGGAGUCCACCACCAUGCCCGGGUAAUUUUUGUAGUUUUAGUAGAGAUGGGGUUUUGCCAUGUUGACUGGUCUGAUCUUGAACUCCUGACCUCAGGUGAUCUGUCCGCCUCAGUCUCCCAAAGUCCUGGGAUUACAGGCAUGAGCCACCCCGCCUGGCCUCAUUUAAGUAUUUUAUCCACCUGGAAUUGAUUUUGGUGUUGGAUGUGAAGUAGGUAUCCAAUUUCCUUUUCUUUAGUAGAUAUCCAAUUUCCUUUUCUUCCCCCAUAUGUGUUUUCAAAUAUUCUAUCUCUGUCAAACAAUCUGUACUUUCUUCAUUUGUUUUCAGUGUGUUUUCUGUCAUUAGUUGAGUUUUUGUGUAUGUAUGAAUUUGAUUUGGUUCCAUUAGUCUAUUUAUCUAUCCUUGUGCCAGUACCACAUUAUCUUAGUGACUAGUUUUAUAACAAGUUUUGAAAUCUGGUUGGGUAAUACCACUCCCUGCAUUUAGAUUCCUUGGUUUCCCAUCUUCAAACCCUGAGGUUUAUCUCCUAUCCCUGGUGCUCUGUGCUGUCAUUAAAGUAAAAGGUCAAGGUCUCCAGAUUAUGCCCACAUUCUCAGGAAGAAAGCAGGGUGUGACAUGGGCUUACCUCCUAGAUUUCCUGCUUUCACUUUGUUUGAGGACUCAGUCUUCCUAACAGCAAUUCACCAGUUUCCCCACUUCUUAAUAGUUAUAAGAACAAUUGUAACCGCUUAUAGGAUUUGUUUGAUAAAGUAAAAAUAGGUUAGUUAUUCAAAGCAGAUUAUUGACCUGUGUGCUUUUAGCUCACAACCUUUAGGUGAAAGGGAACCGUUUCUUUAUGCUUGGUUUUGUAUAUUUUGUAUUAUCUAGAAUUCUGGCUUGCAUUUUCUAUCCAUUAUUUCUCCUUUGGGUUAAUGAAAAUUAGAUGCCCAUGGGUUCUUGCCCUCCCUCUUUACUAAUCAAAUCUUGUUGAGAGUUGGAUCUUUCUUGUGCAUACUAUCUAACUUGGCAGGAAAUCUAACAUGUUGUUAAUGUCCUCUGGUUAGGGGAGCAAAGGAAUUAACACUAAUAAAAAACAUUUUGUGAUUUUUUACUCUUGGGUAUACAGUUUUACUUGCUUUUACUCAUUUCUUUUAAACUAACCUUCAGAGAGUGUGGGUCUAAAUUGUCUAACAAUGUGUUUUAAAUCCUUAAUUAGUUCACUAUAUGUAGUUUUGCUGCCAAAGAAACUAUGGCAACAGCCUUGGAAAAAUUAAAAUUCCACGCACACAUUCUUGUGUGGAACACCUCUCAUAGACUUCAUUUUUUAAUACUUUAAGAAAUUGGCAAGGCGGGUGGAUCAUGAGGUCAGGAGAUCGAGACCAUCCUGGCUAACACGGUGAAACCCCCGUCUCUACUAAAAAUACAAAAAAUUAGCCGGGCGUGGUGGCGGGCGCCUGUAGUCCCAGCUACUUGGGAGGCUGAGGCAGGAGAAUGGCGCGUGAGCCCGGGAGGCGGAGCUUGCAGUGAGCUGAGAUCACACCACUGCACUCCAGCCUGGGCAACAGAGCAAGACUCCAUCUCGAAAAAAAAAAAAAAAUUAAGUUGUGUGUUUGCUUAAGGGUAUUAUAUAAAGUUGAACUUGAAUCAAGAAAAAUAAAUUUCUGAGCAAAUGCCUCAGAAAGUAGCAAAAUAUGGUCUGCAAAACACAAAGAAGAAACAAAAGGAGAAGGAGCUUCUUGGGGGGCUUGAUUGGAUCAUUAAAUGGAUCAGAGCCACCUUGGACUUGUUUCAAGAGUUUACUCUUAACUUUUUCUCAAAUGCUCUAGUAAUUAUUUAUAUUAAUAAUUUACUCAAUGAAAUUGCAAACAUAUUUUCAUAGUGUUUCAGAAACUGUUGAAUUGAUGGCAGUGAUGGUUUUAGAGGAUUUCAGAAUUCCUUUGAAAUGGGUCAGAGAGAACUGAGAGAACUCCUUAUACAGGAGACGUACCUGACAUCUGGUCAAGGGCAUUCCUCUAGCAGCUCUCCCUGCUCUUCUGCGGUUUUUGAUCUGUUUUGGAUCAUAUCCAUCACCACGUAAACACAUUUCACCUAUAUUAAACAAACAAAAGACCCUUUUCUUGACCCCACUUUCCUUUCCAACUGCUGUCUAAUUUCUUUGUUUCCCUUUGAGUCACAACCCAUCAAAAGAGGUGUCCACACUCAUUAGAUCCAGUUCUGCCAUUUUCUUUUUCUUUUUCUCUUUUUAAAAAAUUAUUAUUAUUAUUAUUAUUAUUUAUUUUAACAGAGUCUCUCCCAGUCACCCAGCCUGGAGUGCAAUGCAGCGAUCUCGGCUAACUGCAACCUCCGCUUCCUGGGUUCAAGCAGUUCUUCUGCCUCAGCCUCUCGAGCAGCUGGGAUUACAGGCAUGUGCCUCCACGCCCAGCUAAUUUUUGUAUUUUUAGUAGAGACAGGGUUUCACCAUGUUGGCCAGGCUUUUCUCGAACUCCUGACCUUGUGAUCCACCCACCUCGGCCUCCCAAAGUGCUGGGAUUACAGGCAUGAGCCACCACACCAGGCCCUCUGCCAUUUUCUCUUAAGCCUACUUCAGUCCUACCCAUCCCACAAAUCUACUCUCUUUAAGAUCACCAAGGACCACUACUUUGCUAAUUCCUCAUUUACUUAACUAACAUUAGUGUUGAACAGUUGAUCCUUUUCAUCUUCCUUGAUAAAUCUUCCUAACUUGGGUCUUUGGAAUAGCACGCUUGCCUCCUUGCCUUUCCAGGCACAUUCCUUUGCACAAGGUGCUGUUCAGACGAAGAUCCCCAUGGGCCCUCACCUCCUUCAAGUCUGUUCUCCCAUGUCACCUUCUCAAUGAGAUACUGACUUGAUAAAACCAGUUUGGCUAUGAAAAUUCUGGAAGACAAGCUAAGCAAUAACCAUCCUGGACAUUGGAACAGGCAAAGAUUUCACGACAAAGACACCAAGAGCAAUUUCAACAAAAGCAAAAAUUGACAAACGGGAUCUAAUUGAAGGUAAGAGCCUCUGCACAGCGAAAGAAGCUAUCAACAGAGUAAAUAGGCAACCUACAGAAAGGGAGAAAAUUUUUGCAAACUAUACAUCUGACAAAGGUGUAACAUCUAGCAUCUAUAAGGAACUUAAACAAAUUUACAAGAGAAAAACAACCCCAUUAAAAAGUGGGCAAAGAACGUGAACAGACACUUCUCAAAAGAAGACAUACAUCUUCCCAACAAGCAUAUGAAGAAAAGCUCAAUAUCACUGAUCAUUAGAGAAAUGCAAAUCAGAACCACAAUGAGAUACCAUCUCACACCAGUCAGAAUGGCUAUCAUCAAAAAAGCCAAAAAUUAACAGAUGCUGGCGAGGUUGCAGAGAAAAGGGAACACUAAUACACUGUUGGUGGGAGUGUAAAUUAGUUCAACCAUUGUGGAAAGCAGUAUGGCGAUUCCUCGAAGAGCUAAAAAUGGAACUAUCAUUUGAUCCAGCAAUCCCAUUAUUGGGUAUAUACCCAGAGGAAUAUAAGCAUUCUACUCUAAAGACACAUGUGUGCGAAUGUUCAUUGCCACACUGUUCACGAUAGCAAAGACUUGGAAUCAACCUAAAUGCCCAUCAAUGACAAACUGGAUAAAGAAAUUGUGGUAUAUAUGUACACUAUGGAAUAUUAUGCAACCAUAAAACAAGAUCAUGUCUUUUGCAGGAACAUGGAUGGAGCUGAAGGCUAUUACCCUUAGCAAACUAAUGCAGAAACAGCAAACCAAAUACUGUAUGUUCUCACUUAUAAGUAAGUGGGAGCUAAAUGAUGAGAACUCAUGAACACAAAGAAGGAAACAACAGACACUGGGGUUUACUUGACAGGAGAGGAUAGGAGGAGGGAGAGGAGCAGAAAAGAUGACUACUGGGUACUGAGCUUAAUACCUGGGUGAUAAAAUAAUAUGUACAACAAACCCCCAUGACAUGUGUUUCUCUAUGAACAAACCUUCACAUGUACACCCAAACCUAAAAUUAAAAAAACAAAAUAAACAAACAAACCAAAAAAACAAGUUUGGAAGUAUUCCUUCCUCCUUUACUUUCUGAAGGAAAGGUGUUAUUUCUUCCUGCAGUGUUUGAUAGAAUUCAGGAGAGCACCAUCUGGACCUGAUAUUUUCUCUGCGAGCAGGUUUUUGAGCAUCCAGUUUCUUUAAUAGAUAUAGAUAGAGUUUCUUAUUUUGUUUUUGCUGCUGUCCUUUUGUUUUUGUUUCCUUGUUUUUUAGAUCUUCUGUAUCCUAGUAUGUCAAUUUUGGUAAGUUGAUAUUUUAAAAAAGAAAUUUGCUAUUUUCAUCUAAGCUGUCAAAUUUGUUGGCAUAAAGGUGUUUGUAAUAAUCUGUAUCUUUUUAAUAUCUAUCAGCAAGAAGAAGAGCAAUAGAGCCAAGUCAAUAAAACCAAAUGCUGGCUAGUUCUUUGAAAAGAUCAAUAAAAUGGAUCAACUUCUAGCUAGACAGACAAAAUCAGAGAUAGAAUGAAUGGUAAAAUAUUAGUGAUGACUUAUUUUUUCAAAAAAUGAAUUUGGCUUCCUUAAUUUUCUCUUGUUUUCUAUUACACAGAUUUAUGUUCUUUAUUAUUUCCUUCCUUGUACUUUAGGUUUUGUUCUUUUUCUAGUGUUUUAGGUUGGAACAUUAGAUCACUGAUUUUUUUACCUUUUUUUCAAAUGGAUGCAUUUAAAGCUAUAAACGUUUCUCUUAGUACACUUUAUAUACCUCAAAGUUUGACAUGAUGUAUUUCUAUCAUCAUUCAGUUUUACAUAUUUUCUGAUUUCUCUUGUGAUUUUUAAAUUUUGACCCAUGGAUUUUUAAGUAUUUUGUUCAAUUUUCAAAACGUUGUGGUCUUUAGAUAUCUUAUUGUUAUUGAUUUCUAAUUUAAUUCCAUUAUGGUCAGAGAACAUACUGUUUGAUUUCAAUCCUUUUUAAUUAAUUGAGACCUGGGUUUUAUGGCUCUACAUAUGAUCAGUCUUGGUGGAUAUACCAAGUGAACUUGUAAAGAACAUGUGUUCUGCAGUUUUUAGGUGUUCUUUAUGUAUUAAGGUGGUUGAUAAUGUUGUUCACAUCAUUUGUGUAUGGGCUGAUUUUUAUUUUGUUUGAUUUUUAUUUUCUAUCAUUUGUUGAAAGGGAUGUUAAAAUCUUCAACUGUAAUGGUGAAAUAGUAUUGUUUCCAUUUAAUUCUGUUCAUUUUUGCCUGAUAUGUCUUUAUAUACACAUUUAAGAUUAUGUCUUCCUGAUGAGUUGUGAAUUAGAACAUUAUGAAAUGUUAUUCUCCAGUAAUAUUAUUCUCUCCUUAAAGUCUAUUUUACUCAAUAUUGAUAUAGCAACUCCAUCCUUUAUAUACUUACUGUUUACAUGGUGUGCCUUUUCAGAAGCAUUUACUUUCAAUUAUAGAUAGCAUAUAGAUGAGACUUGUUUUUUUUUAAAUCUAUUCUGAAAAUUUCUGAUUUUAUUAUUAGGAAUAUUUAGGGGAAAUGUUUAAUAAAUUAAUAUUUUGGGUUUUUUUUCUGUUUUUUUUUUCAUUAGCUCCUCCUUCCCAACCCACUUUUGAAUUUUAUCUGUUAAUAUUCUAUCAACUUCACACAAAAUCUAAAACCCUUGCAACUUACAGGUUCAUUUCUCUAACGCUAUUCUUUAUGCUAGUUAUCAUAUCUAUUACAUCUGCGUAUAUUACAAACUGCACAAGAAAAUGUUAUAGCUUUUGCUCUAAAUUGCCAUAUUUAAUGAAGUUAAAAGAAAAAAUAUUGUAUAUUCUCACAUAAUUACUAUAUUUCUUAUGCUCUUUGUUUCUUUCUAAAGAUAACAGCUGAUAUUGAAUCUGAAGUUCCUUUAAUAUUUCUUGUAGUGAAGAUACCCUAGUGACAAAUCCUCUUAGUUUUUUAUUAUUUCUUGUAUACAGAAAAUGUUUCUUGGCUACAUGCAGUAGCUCACACUCGUAAUCCCAGCACUUUGAGAAGCUGAGAUGGGAGGAUCGCUUGAGCCCAGGAGUUCAAGACCAGCCCAGGCAACAUAGGGAGACACCCAUUGUCUACAAUUUUUUUCUUUUUAAUUAGCUAGGAGUGGUGGCACAUGCCUGUAGUCCCAGCUAUUCAGGAGGCUGAGGUGGGACGAUUGGUUGAGCCAAGGAGGUUGAGGCUACAGUGAACUGUGAUGAUGCCGCUGCACUCCAGUCUGGGGAACAGAGCAAGACACUGUCUCCAAAAAAAAAAAAAAAAAGUUUCUAUUUUGCCUUUUUUCUUAAAAGAUAUUUUUGCUUUAGAUAGAAUUCUGAAUUGACAGUUUGUUUUUUGAACACUUUAAAAAUGUUCCACUGUCUGCUGGACUCUGUAGUUUCUGAUGAUAAAUCAGUGAAAGUUUUUGUUACCCUGUAUGCAAUGUUUUUUGUUUAUUCAUUUAAUUAUUCUGGCUGCGCUCAAGAUUUUUCUCUGCUUCCGUUUUCAGCAAUUUGACUAUGAUUAUGCCUCCCUAGACAUAAUGGUUUAAAUAUUGAUUCUGCUUGGUGUUUGUUGAGCUUUUGGAAUCUGUAAAUUUGUGUCUUUCAUCAAAUUUGGGGACUUUGGGACCAUGAUUUUUUCAAAUAUAUUUUCUGUCUCAUUAUUUGCUCUCCUUGUAGGUCUCUGAUUACAGGUAUGCUAGAUCUUUUGAUAUUUUACUACAAAUCCCUGAGACAGUGUCUUUUUCUUCUCUUUUUAAAUUUUUUUUCUCUUGGAUAAAGAUAAAGAUGGUUUAUUCUUAUGCUGCAGAAUUUCCUUUUUUUUUUUUUUUUUUUGAGACAGAGUCUUGCUCUGCCACCAGGCUGGAGUGCAGUGGCAUGAUCUCAGCUCACUGCAACCUCCGCCUCCCAGGUUCAAGCAAUUUCCCUGCCUCAGCCUCCCAAGUAGCUGGGAUUACAGGCAUGUGCCACCACACCUGGCUAAUUUUUUUUUUUUUUUUUUUGUAUUUUAGUAGAGAUGGGGUUUCACCAUGUUGACCAAGAUGGUGUCGAUCUCCUGACCUUGUGAUCUGCCUGCCUUGGCCUCCCAAAGUGCUGGGAUUACAGGAGUGAGCCACUGUGCCUGGCCCUAUUUGUUUCUUUUUAAUAAUUCUGUUUCUGUACUGAAAUUUCUCAUUUUAUUCAAGCGUAUUAUCUUUGCAUUCUUGAGCAUAGUUAUAAUAGCUGCUUUAACAUUUCGUCUGCUCAUUUUAACAUCUAAAAAUGGUUUGAGGUUUAUCUCUGUUGACUGUCUUUUUUCUUGAGAAUUGGUCACACUGCUUUUUUCUUCAUAUAUCAAAAAGUUUUGGUUGUAUCCUGGUAUUGUGGAAAAAUCUGGAUUCUGUUAUAUUCUUGUGAGGAGUGUUUGUUUGUUUUAGCAGGCAAUUAACUUGACUGGAAUCAAACUGCUAAUCUAUUUUUUAGACAACUGCUCAAAACUCAGCUCAGUUUAUCUUUAGAUAGAGUUUGCCCUGCACACAUACAGUUCAGGGAUUUAAGAAUUUUUCUGCCCCACCCCCACCCAGUACUCUAGUAUUUAAAAUAUAUUCUGACAGACAGUUUUUUGGAGUAUUUUUCUGAGUUGUUAUUUGAUAAUGAGAAUUUUACAGGAAAGGUUUAAAAUUUGAUGUUUUAUUUCUCCAAAUAUCUGCUGGGACAUUGUAAAGGAGAAGCAGUUUGGUUUUAUAAGAAAAUGAUACUUAGCAGGUAUUAAUACUCCAAAUAAUUAUUUUACUCAAGUAUACACUCAAGGCUCUAGACAUGAAGAAUUGGAAAAGGUCAAAGCAAUGAACUAGAAUUCACCUGAAAGCAAGAUAUACUUCCAGAUGUAGACCUUGCAUGAAAUUCUAUCCUUUUGUUCAUAUGAGAAUAAAGAUGCCUGGUAGCAGAACAACUUACAUGUGGCCUACAAACACAGAAUAGCUCUUUCUUUAAAGAAAUUUUGAAUUGAGGGUGAACCUUAAAGAGACAGCACUUUAUGUGCCCCGAUGUGAAUCAUCAGUCCUAACUAAGGUGAUGUUUUAGAAUUUUGGAGCUGGUAUACUCAGAUACCAUGGAGACAAGGCCAAAGGGGUUAGGAAACUUUUCUCUAGUCUUUUUUGGACAGCCUCAGUAAGGGUAGUGUGGGAUACAGAAUCAAAGAGCCUCAUCUUUUGAGAUGGAAAACUCAAGGUCCAAGCAAGACUCUGUCAUUUACUGUUUGAUUUGUAACAGGUAUUUAGCCUUUCAGUGUCUACAUCAAUUUUAUCUAUAAAAUGUAGAUAAAAGUUGUUUAAAAGAUUAGGUGGUUGCCUACUCUGUAGUAGGCAUUCAGUAUUUUGUGUUCUGCUUCCAGAUUACAAAAGGGUGAUAUAAUGUCAAUAUAAGGAUACCAAAAGAAUUCAUGAAAUGUCACCCCAAAAUAUUACUUUGAACUGAGGGUACUUGGGGAACAGCAGGUGCAAGUAGAGGCUUUCUCUGAGCACCACUUGCAUGCAGAGCCUUUUCUCUGAGCUCCUCUUAUCUGUCUAAAGACGGAUCCUCCGAAAGGAACUCAAUUGUCAUGAAUCCCCUCCCUGGGAAUUUUAUCAACCAGGGAAGAUUAACUUGGAUCACAGGAGGGGAGACUAGAGGUUGACCCUAUGCCCAGACUAUCACCUCUUCUAAGGGCUGCUCAGAAACAACUUUUAUUACCGACUUUUUAUCUGUAUAACAAGACAACCUUUAUUCCCCGUGCAUUUCUUCCCCUCACCCUCCCAUAACUUGUGUCGCCACCCCCUUCCCCAGAAGCCCCAAGCCCUGAUGCCUUUCUGUAACUUGGGAUGCUGUAUCAGCAUCAAUCAUCUGACCCUUCUUUGAGGCUCCUAUUUUGUGAGACUCCUGUGCAUACUUAUGUAAUUAAAUAUUUACAUAAGUCUUUCUCCUGUCUUAUGUCAGUUUAAUUUGUAACCCAGCCAAGGAACCUGGAAGGGUAGUGGGAUGCCAUUUUCUCUCCCCUGCAGUGUGCUACAGAGAAGAUUGCUAUUCUUAAUUUGUUAUUUAAUCCUCUUGGGUAAGGCCUAGAAGGAAAAAUCUGUAAAUCUGUAAACUUUAAAAGGGGAAUUUUCAAGAGAAAAUGUUCACAGAAGGCCCUGGAAGGAGCUAGUAGAAGCUUUUAAUAGAAGCAAAACUAAUUGAGAAGUGUGAGACUGGACAUUAUAUUAGCUUUGCAUUUGUAUUACUUUUGUAUUUCUACUCCCAAACACUUUCCACUAUAAGAAAGCUUGAGUGUGUUCUUGAAUUGUGUACUGAGCCACAGGAAGAAAAGGGACAAUGGUUAGACAAGAGCGGGUACAGAAGAGUUGAGCACUAGGCAGGUAUUUAAUACAUAUUUGUUGAAUAAUGACUGGAGAUACUCUGGCACCUCAAUAUUCAUAUUUCCAGGAUCUGGAUUUGUUUCGGGUUGCCUUGCCAAGUGUAAUCUAGUAUGGUGGUAGCCUGAGGGCUCUCAUUUUGUUUACAAUUUACCUACUGAAGUAUUUUAAAGGCUCAGACUUGUCCAGGCUGCAGGAAUCUGGAAGGUGGGGUGGAUGAAUUCCGUUCUUUCUUUGUCCCCAAUUUUUCCCUCAUCUGUACCCAGGGAAUUUGUUCAGGUUGGGUCCUGGUUUAGUUCACCCUCUUACCCAGAUCCACACUUGGCUCUGUGUUGAUUGUGCUUGCUAAAUGUUCAUUGAAUGAAUGAAUGGAAGGCACUAAAUCUGUAGGAAGGCAAAAGAAAGGUUGAGAGGUAUUGAUGCCACCCAGAUGGAGAAUUUACAAUGAAUCAAGCAAGGACCAGAGUAAACAGGGGGCUGUUCUGUCCAACCAGAGCCCUGGCAGGUUUACCUGGUUUAGUGUUUAUGUUUCCUUGAUUGGAAAUCAAUCUCUGUCCGUCUUAGCUCUUACUGUUGUUGGUCUGACUCUACAGAAAAGAAGCUAAUUUUUAUCAUCUUAGAAACCCUCUUCCUGAGCCUCUUAUCAAAUCAUUGUAUUCCCUGUGAAUAAAAGAGGCUGGUGGUCUGUCAUUUCUGAAAGAGAGCCUGAGAGGAGACAUAAUUGUUCUAAUAUUUAUGUUUCUUUAUCAGUUUUCUUUGUGCUUCUACACAUAUUUUCUCAUUUUAUCCUCUUAAUGACAUAAGAAGAGCAGGUAUUAUUAUCCUAUUUUCCAUAGGAGUAAACUAUUUCAGAGAGGUAAUAAGUAUAAAUUGUUCAAGACCUCAGAAAUGAAUGUGGCAGUGACCAGAUGUUUAAUCCAAGUUUAGUGUUUUCUUUAUUUAUAUUGUACUGGCCGUGAUAAUAAUCAGCAUUACGUAUUGAAUGUAUGAUUAAUUAAGCACUAUGAUUAAAUCUUUUCUCACAUAACUUGGCUGGUUCCCUUGCUAGUUCCCUUACAUCCUUUUAUUCUUGGCUGAAAUGAUACCUCUCAGGGAGGGCUUCCUUGACCACUCAUUUAUAAAUUUUAUUAAUUGCAUCUCUCUUUAGUUUUUACCCCCUUCUCUAUUUUAUCUCCUUACAGUUUAUCAUGUAGGACAUAGGUAUGUAUUUAUGUUUUUCAUUGUGUAUCUUUCCCUAAUAGAAUAGAAGCUCCGUGAGGGCGUGGAUUUUUGUCUGUUCCAUGUCUUGAUGUGCCCCCAGCACUAUUAAAACUUUGUCCAUGUAGUAUAUGGCAGGUGCUCAGUAAAAAUUUGCUGCAUGAAUUAAUAAUCCUCAAAAACAACUCUUCCAGAUUUACUGACAAGAAAAAUUAUGCACAAAGAAAUUCCCUUUCCAGGGUCACCCAAGUAGGGGGUUAGAGAACUGAUUUGAAAUUCAAGUGUAUUUAGAUUCAGUGCUCCACUGUAUGUUUUCAAUUCCCCCCCCCCCACAAGGUAUGGGGGAAGUACUGCCUGUCUUACCACAGAAUGGAAGGGGCUAGACUCUGUCCUCCUCACUCCUUCCCCUAGCAAUUCCUCUUAUUUGUUUGGUAUAUUGAAGGUUAGUAUGAGGCUUUUUUUUUUUAAUGGUCUUUCGUUUUCCCCCAGCAAUUCAUCUUAUUUGUUUGGAAUGAGGCUUUUUUUUAAAUGGUCUAUCACUUUUUUUUUUUUAAAGGGAAGAUUUACAAACAAUUAUACUACAGCAAUAAUUAUGCAAAGCUGAAUCUGAAUUUCUUUUUAAAACAUGCAACAAUAUUGUAAUUGGGAUGCUCUUUAAAGUUUGGAAGAGGCAAGAAAAAAAUAAAUAUUAUUAGAGCUAAUAGAUAAUAUAUUCACAUAUAUGUUAGAGCUUUUAGCUCUAAUAAUAUUUAGAAUUAAAUAUUAUUAGGGGUAUGUAUAUGUUUAUUGCAGAGAGUAAAUGGUAUGUGUUGCCUCCUCUAAAAGCCAAAAUUAGGUUUCUUGUGGAAGUUAAACUCCUGAGUAUAGGGACCAUGACAGAAUAGUUCACACUGUAGUGCUCUGUAGAUACUGGGGAAUGAGUGGAUAAACUAGAUUAUGAUCUCUUUGAGGGAGAGAUUCUAAGCAUACCUCUAGUAAGUGGUAGGCAGGUGAUGAACUCAGCACACAUUUGUUGAGUACUUAUUCUAUACUUGGCAUUGUAGGAAGAGAAACAAAGAGCUUAUCCCAAGGACGUUGUUAAAUUGCAGGAGCAUUUGUUCAUGCAUUUGAUAUUUCUUGCUAAUCUCUUGAGGGUGAUGCCCUGAUGGACUGUGGAUCUCAUCUAGUGUGGCAUUACCUUCAUUUCUGUUCAAAUUAUGUAUGUGUCCCUAGAAUCCUAACAAAUGCCAGACGGUUGCAAGAAUUAGUACACAUAUAAAUCGUGUUGCAUUUUGGAAAAGAUUUUAUUUAUUCAACAUGAUAGUUUGUAUUCAUUUAACAAACACUGCUUCACAUAAGUCAUCCCAUUAAAUUUGUGCCACAACCCUCUGAUACAAAUACAGUUCUUCGCCUCAUUUUGAGGAAAUCGAGACUCAGAGACAUUAAGUAAUUUCCUAGAAUCAUGGUUGAAUUAGGUGAUAGGAUUGGGAUUUUAGCCAAAGUGGUCUAACUCUAAAACCCAUGUUCUUAACCAUGUUCUAAAAACAUAUGCUGUGUUGUUUUUCAUACUUUUUCUGCUGCAAAUUCAUCUGUACGUUUUCAAUUUUUAAAAUGAAGGUGGUUUAUUUUCUCUUGAGAGUCUUACAUCAGCUGAUAUAAGAUAAAUAAUAUGUCUAAACAAUGUAAGUACUAUGAUGAAAACUUAGCUGCUAAAUGAGGAAAAGCAAGUUUAAAUGCUCAGUUGUCAGGGGUAAAACAAUGGUGGAGGGUGCCUUCUGUGCUGUUAGCGACGAGCUUUUAGCUCUCAUAAAUCACAAGGAUAUAACUGGAGCCUUAGGAGGAAGCGCGUUAUAUUACUAAUGGAUCAUCCUGCAGGAACAUAAACAAGACAUAAAAAUAAGUGAAGUCCUUGAUGACUCUUUUGUCUUUCUUCCCAAUUCAUCAUUAUUCCAUUAUUAACAUAACCUUAAGACAGUUGGUUAUAAUUUGUAUCCUCAUGGAAUUUCUGUUGGGCUAUUGGGGUUUUGUUUUGUUUUGUUUUGUUUUAAAGUAAGUACCUCCUAAAUAAGAACUUUUAGCUAAUUGAGUGAGUGAAAAACUGCAGCUGUUGGACCAGUUUGUGGGAUGAAAGCGUAACAUUGUUACGCUUUCUCCCUUUCUGUCACACGGGAGAAGCUGAUAACAACUUGGCAUUCUUAGUGUAGAACUGUGGUUGGUAAGCUUCUGUUAGUAUGGUUUCCCUGGAGGAUAUAGCAACCCUUAGAUACCUCUCAGAACUCCCGGAUCUCUCUUCCCAUAUGAAGCCUGGACAAUAGUCAGGAUGCUUGGAGUACUGUUCAGCUAGGAAAAAACGAGAUGGGCACAGAGAGAGGAAGCCACCUGAUAGCUCCCCAUCUCCCCACCCCCCAUUUGGGAUUUGGAGCCAUCUUGUUUCUAUUUUAAGGAAAACAUACAUGUAACCUCUGUUCUGUAUUCUUAUAUAUAUAUUUGCAAGUUAAAAUAUAUGUGAAUGCAUGCAUGAAAGCUUAAAUUUCUGUACUAAAUAUAGACCCAUUGACUUCAGGGGUAUGUAUAGUACAUUAGUCAAUGUAUGUGCCUGGUGUUGAGGUAAGCUGAGAUAAUCCUGCUUACAUACACUCAUGCACACACCCUGUGUAUGCACAUGUUUUAUGUAUUGUAUUAACCAUGUACACACAAAAGCAAUAUAUAUCUAUUGUUUACAGUUAUUAAUUGUACUCCAGGCACAUAUUUACUCUUUGUAUGUACAGUUUUUUGGUUUUUUUGUUUGUUUGUUUGUUUUGAGAUGGAGUUUCACUCUUCUUGCCCAAGCUGGAGUGCAAUGGCGUGAUCUCAUCUCACCACAACCUCCGCCUCCUGGAUUCAAACGAUUUUCCUGCCUCAGCCUCCCGAGUAGCUGGGAUUACAGGCAUGCGCCACCACACCCGGCUAAUUUUUUAUUUUUAGUAGAGAUGGGGUCUCUCCAUGUUGGUCAUGCUGGUCUCGAACUCCCGACAUCAGGUGAUCCACCCACCUCAGCCUCCCGAAGUGCUGGGAUUACAGGCAUGAGCCACCACGCCCAGCCUUAUGCACAGUAUUUUUAUAUUUGUAAAAAUAGAAAUACAAAUAAAAAAAUAAACACACACAAAUAUACAAAUUUAAAAAUAUACACCUAUGCCAUCUAUAGAAAAUAGAAUAUUUAAAUCUCUCACCAUCACUGCCACCACCACACACAUUUAAGUCUUGGAAAUUCUGGUUACAGGUUUUUUUUAGUGGUAGUGUUGUUUGAGCAAAACCACAGAUUAGUCCAUUUCCUCAUUCCCUUGAUUCUCAUAGUUUGUGUUCCCACUCUAAGGAAACAAAUGAAGGGACUGGUACUGCUUCUUUAGGGGGAAUGGGUGUUGCAGGCAGGCCCAGCUGGAGAGGAGCAGCGGGGGCCUUGCGGCAGGGCAGGAAGAGACAUGUAAGCUCCCACUCUGGUGUGCCUCUCUCUGUGUUCCAGCUGAAGGAAACACACUGGGUGUUACGUAAGCAGCCAUUAGUUUAGUUUUAUAAAAGUCAGCUUUUCACAUAGCUCUGCGAUCUAUGUAUGUGCAGAUGUCUUCUUUCAGUGAAGCAGACCCUUGAAAAAAACAUGGAUCUGGGCUUUUUACUCAAAUAGUCAAACUUCAUUUAACUAGAAGGGAAUAGACUGAGUCCAAGUCCUCAUUUUAAAGGCCAGCAAGCCUGUAUCAUGAGAAAUGAACAUUCCACUAAAAAUGGAAACAAGUAAGCCCAUUUUACAUGCAUUUCCAAUAUCUCAAGGUUGAAUCGUAUUUGGAAAUGCUGCUAAGGGAACAGCCAAGACUUCUCCAGCCCUCUCCCUACCCCAGCCCUACCUGACUCCAUCCUCCACCUAAAAUGGCCGCACCCACUGAAAAAUAAAAUAACCUCAAAUUAUCUGUACUGGCAGAAUGAGUAAACAUAAACUCAUCUGAGAACAUAUUAUAAAACCUGGCGAGCAACUCAAGAACAGGGACCACUCAUCCCUAACAUAUCCCAUGGUGCAAUAGGAAAUAUUUUGGUAAUGAUGUGAAGGAAUUAAUUACUGCUCAUAUCAGGAACCCCUGAAUUCAGUAAAUGCUUUGAAAAUCUGGACCCAUGAAAUAACAUGUGGUGUGGUAAAACUGGAAACCUGCCAAGAACUAUAGCUUUAUUUUAAUAUUAAAAGACUCUGGGGAGGUAGGGAUCAUGUUGAAAUAGCUGUUCAUGGGCAUUCACACUGGGUGUCACUUAAGCAGCCAUUAGUUUAGUCCUUUUACAUGCUGCGGAGUCAUGAGGAAGUGUCACUGUCACAUCCGCUGACAUGCAUGUCAGGCCUACCAUGGCACCAGCCUCUAAAGGAAGGUGUUAGCGGUGAAUCCUGCAGCCAAACAGCCAAUAGAAAGCAGGCAUGCCCCAGUUCUUCUGUUUGCAGUUCGCCCUGUCAUCAGAUAGGGGAUGAGAAGACCUUCCUAAAUCCACCUGUGACUUAGAGAGUGAUAUUAGAUGCAGCUUGGCAAGGGAACACACAGAAUAGUUCAGAGAAGGAUAUAAUAAAAUUGUUGCGGUUCAGGCAAAUAUCCUCAUUCCUCUGGUUGGAAACCCAUACGGGAAACAUUUCUUUUUGUUGUUGUUUCUAGCAAGUCUUAAUAGCAGGCAAUGUACUUUCCAGCAGCACCCAACAUUUGCACCUCACUAAGUUGUGGGGGGCGGGCGGGGGUGAGGGUGCUGUUACUGUUGGCUUAAAAAAUUUUUUUUCCCAAUGAUAUUAAAAAAAAACUUGUACCUCUGGAUCAACACUUACAGCUAUAUGCCUGCAUUGUAAAGACCCCAAAAUCUCAAGAGUUGCUUUGCCACUGCUAAAGUAUCUUGAAACUGAAGCCUAGAAAGGCCUUUUCUCUAUUGAGUGAUAUUAGCGCAUUACAACUGGCUUCAUUGUUCAAAGGUAGGACCAGAAGAGAAAGUGCUCCUGCCUCCUAAUGCCACGUCAUACUCAAGACUCAGGUAAUGUGGAUACUCAAGGCCAGUCUUUAACAAUUGAAGAAAUCAAACAUUCAUAAGAUGCUUCCUUUUGUACUGUUUUUCUUUCCUUAGUUUUAAAAGGAAUUUACUUUGUACAAAUUUGUUACUCUAAAUAUAGAACUCCACUGCACAUGAGGCUGUGUCUUGCAAUUAUCUUUUUAAAUGAGGCACUAGGAGGGAGAGACCUUGCAAUUACUGUAAUUGAGCUCAUAGUAUCAAUGAAAUCUUAAAAUGGCACAAUGAUAUAUUUCAUUCAAAAGGCAUGCUAAGUUAAUAUUAUUUUAAAAGGGGAAAUAGAAACAUCUAGAUUUUUAAAAAUUUUAGAGAAGGUCAUUGUGUCUCAAGAUUGUCAUCCCAGGACUUGGAUUCAGUAAGUACUUGGCCAGUGUGAGGGUAAGGAAGUGCUUAGUGGUAACAGAUACUUGUUUCCUUGCCAGUGUCAUCUUUCCACUCCACUGCUGAGCUAAUUGACGCUUGCUGGCAAAUGUUUGAUCGAUAUUCUCUCAAAGAAGCCCUUGAAGAACCCUAACAUGCUGUGGUCAGUUAUCCUCUAACGGGAGGCUAGGUCAGGUUUCGUCCUUCAUUUAUGCAGCAAACAUUUUUCUGAGUUUCUGCAUAGUGUGCCAGGCUCUGGCCCAGGUCACAAGGUUGGUUUGUGACAAGAUAUUAUUUGCAUUGGGUCUGGAGAAGAGAGUCUGGGCUCUGUGAAAUUUCAGGUUCCCAGAGCCUUUCUGACCUAUCCAUCCCCAUUGUCUAGCGGCCUCCCUUUUAUUUGAAAUGCGUCUAUGUUACACUUAGUGUUUAUAAGUUAUGCACAGAUAUUUGUUCUUCAAGUAAGAGUUUUAUGUAGGAAGUGACUGGGUUUGCUUUUCUUUUCUACAGUUGAGUGUAGAAAGCCUGGUCUUUCACAGGCCACCAGAGAAUUCCCAAGUUCACGAACCCAUAGUAUUUUCCCCUUUCCCUCGUGAUUAAUAUUCUACACAAAAAGUUGUGACGUAAAAUGUUGGAGAUUAUUCUGUGGCUCCUGCUCUCUCCUCUUCCCAAUUCUCAGCUUCUCGAUUUUUUUUCUAAGGUCAAGAAUAGGUGGAACUUCUUUUUCCUUGUGAAGGAAUAGACGGUAAACUUUCAAGGCCUGGGCUUAUUUCAGAUGUAAAAGAAUCUCGGGUCAGGGGCUCCUGUUACAGAGUGAAGUGAGGAGAAGUGGGUUGAAGCCUGCCUUUCCCUUUGUUUCUUUUGUUAUGAUCUGGUUGUUAAGGGUAGAGUGGGGUGAAAAACAGGGCAAGAGUCCAUUGAGCCCUUGAGUUGAUAACCUUGGCUUUUGGGAGGCUUGGGUGUGUAUUGCAGUGACUCUCCUGCAAUACCCAACACAAACUGUUAUCCAAACCAACCCCAUUAUAACCUUUAAAGCAAAUGUUCAUUUUGCAUGAAGAAAGAAGCUAAGCUGCUGGUCUCAACUGUUUCCCAGGGCUCAGCCUCCCCCUGUUCUCUGGCAUGUCAGCACUUGCCUCCUGUUUUUUCCAUUGUACUCCUCCCAGCUCAGCACAGGGGCCCCACCUCUCGCAGGAUCAGGGUAUGUGACCCUGGAGCCCAGACAGCCUUGCACAUAAAUCUUUCUGGUCCACCUGCAGAUCGUCUGUCAGCAGCUGCCCUGUUUCUCUGUUGGAUGGGCUAUUCCCUCACAUCUGUCAGACUACCCUGAAGUCUCCACAGGCCAGUGGAAAUUCAGACUGGCCCUACUGCAUCUCCAGGUCUUCAUCUAUCUUGUCCUGUAUCGUUUCCUGCCAUGCCCAGGCUCUGUCCUACUGAGUAAUUUCAUGAGGCCCAAACUAGUGGUGAUGAGCAGCCAUAUCAUGACAGCGGCCAGUUGCUAUCAGUAUACCUUUCUGAACAGGUGCUCUUUUGGGGGCAAGUAUGGACUGAAUGUUUGUGUCUUCCCCAAAUUCAUAUGCUGAAGCCCUAACCCCCAAUGUGAUGGUAUUUGGAGGUGGGGCCUUUGGGAAGUAAUUAGGGUUAGAUGAGGCCGUGAGGGUGGAGCCCCCAUGAUGGAAUUUAAGCUUUUGUAAGAAGAGACAGAAACACUAGAGUACUCUAUAUAAGACGAGGAAGAGACAGACACUCUGUCUGCCAUGUGUGGAUACCAGAAGGUUGCCAUCUGCAAGCUAGGAAGGAGGGCCCUCACCACACACUGAAUCUGCUGUCAUCUUGAUCUUUGACUUCCCACUUUACAGAACUAUGAGAAAUAAAUAUUUGUUGUUUAUGCCACUGUAUAGUAUUUGUAGAAUAGUUGGAGCUAAGACAGCAAGACUUGCUUUAGAGCAGCUGAUAUUACCUAGGAAGCAGAUCAAGAUAGGGAACUGGAGAGGCCCUGAAGCUUCUGAUUGGCUUGAACCAGAUAUGAGUAAUAGUCAUAGGUUAUCUGCCUUUGUCUACACUCAGAGGAAGAUCUUUCCAAUAUGGCAAAUAAUGGUAUAUUGUGUGGGGGCAUGUGACAUUAACAUCUUUAAGUCUCUUCUAUGUGCCAGGCAACAAAUAAAAAUGCACAGUGCAGUGGUUCAAGAGGAUGAAUGUGAUCUAAUUAUUCUGUUUAUUAGCUUUGUGACCUUGGGCAAGUCAGUCCAUUGGAAUCACCUGUAAAAAUAGCAUAGGGUGAUUACCAAGGGCUGUUGUGAAGAUUAAAAGGCAUCAGGUAAAGUCACAUGUCACACAGUGCCCUAAACAUAAUCAGCAAUCAAUUAGUUCUAAUUAUUGUUGUGUUAUUGGUUUGUUGGGAUAAACAGGGUCUUCAAAUGAGGUAAGAACAAGAACAGUGUGAAGCAGAAAGUGAGUGGAACAAAUGGUGAGUCCUAGGAAAUUCUGGAAAAGGACAGAGAAGGCUUCAAAGAGGUUGAAAUUGGGCUGGAACCAGAAGGAAUGAGUAGAAUUUAGAUAAUUUGAUCUGGGAGAGUUCACAUUUUUCUUCAAUUUGAGGGAGCUUGUUAGCAGAAAGAGAAUUGAGCUAGAGAUUAGAAGAAAAGGUCUUUUUGUUUUCUACCUUUACUCAGCACGAGCUUGGGCAAACCACUGAGCCUCGAUUUCCUUGAUUGUAAAACUGGGACAGAGAGAAUAUCUGCUCCGCCUAGCUCCCAGGGUUGUUAUAAGGCACAAAUGAGACACUUCAGGUAAAAAUGCUUUGAAAAUGGUGAAAUGCAACAACACAAGAGUAAGGUCAUUAUUAGAGUCUUAAAAGAGGAUCCCAGAAAAAGUCUGAGCUGCCCGAGACUGUAAUUACCUAUCCUGUAUGACACAGUGCUUUAGAAGAGUCACUGACAGCUGUAGUAAGGUCAUGGCCUACUGCUGACACAUCUAUCCUGACUGUGUUGACUACUCACCCUUCUCCACGUACAGAGAAUGUUCUUUGGAUUCUCCAUUUGUACCCAGCCAUUGUUAAGUUCCUCAAACAAUAAUAACCAUUACAAUAAUAGUAAUAGUAAACAGCCACUACCAUUUAUUUGGCGCUUAUAAUACAUUGGAUACUCUGCUAAGUACUUUACAAACUUUAUCCCACUUAGUUCUCAAGCAACAUCACAAAGCAGCUAUUAUUAUAUCCAAUUUAGAGGUAAUUAAGUUGAGGCUUAGAAAAAUAACUUGCCUCGUCUCCUUCAGCUAGUAAAUGACAGCUGAAUUUAACUGAAACUUCUUUGACUACAGCCCUCUGUGCCAUUUUGCUUUUAAUCUAAGAAAAAAUGCUUUCCCCCACAAGACCUUGUGCCAGAUUUCCCAUGUAGAAUUAACCAUAUGGAUGAGUUAAAUGAAUAAAAUGGUUAGUUAACAUUCAGUUUAUUACUUAUAGCUUUAUCCUUUUACUUCUAGCUCUGUUGUUAGAAAAUUUAGACCCCACAAUAUUUCCCCAGUUACUACUACCUUUCUAGGCCAGAGACUGUCCACUAUGAUAGUAAGAAUAAUCCCUUGUAUUUGUCCUAGCCUUUGUAUAUUCACUGUGUUUCAUUUGAACAUCACAAUAAGUCCUUUAAGGGAUAUCAUUUCUGUUUUACUCAUGAGGAACUGAUGCUAAGGGAAGUCAAGGAAUUUGCCCAAAUUCCCAGCUAAUAAGCGAGAGAGCUCUAUGUCUGUCUGAACCAUUAUGACUAUUACUAAUAGAAAGAAUAGCAGAGAGUGAGAGCAUUUCUUAUAUCCUGUAUAUGAUGUGCAACAUGAAACAAUGAGAAUAUUUUCUACGAAGAACUUCAGAAUGCAGUGGUGUGAGGUUCAGAGAUGUUAAAUAUUUGUGCUUAAAAUUAUUUUUAUGUCACAUACAUUCAAAUAACUAAACUCUGAAACUUACUAGAAAACAAAAUGCAAGGUUUAUUCUUUAGUGGUAAGGCUAGAGUUGAAGGAAAUAAGGAUCAACUAUUAAAUUCUUACCAUGGCACAAAGGUUUUUGAAUGUCAAAUGUUAAACUUUUCUAGGUUCAAUAGGAAUUUUGCUAUGAAUCUUCAGUCCCCUAGGAUAUAUUUCCUGUCUGUGCCUGUCAGCUUCAUUGUUACGUAUUUUAAAUAAAGCUUUCCCUAACAUUCAAAACUCCUUCCGGCCCUUCCUUUUAGGAAGCAGACAUAAAUAAAGUACCCACUAUGCCUUUGCAUUUUUGUUUUCUUUUACCUUUUUCUAACUAUGUGCCCACCCCACCCCCAAUCUUCUGAAGUAUAAAGCUAAGGUAAAAAGAGCUUUUAAAAAAGGGCUCUGGGGAAGUAUGCAAAUGACAGAAAUGUCUAUGGGAAAAUUAAGGGAAAAGAAAUUCAGCAAGAAAGAAAUUCAUUGAUGUUGUGAUGAAACGUUGUCACUGGAGAUAAUGACAAAUUAGAAUCCGUUCCCAUGGGGACCGCACGCUACCUACUGAUCAUUUGACCCGUGGCUGGAUGUUGGCUAGCCUAAGAAUUGACCCAAAAGAUGACAAGAUGGUUUUAGUCCUGUUGUCUCAUCCGUAUUCAGGAACCCCUUAGGGGAUGAAGGGGAAAGGAUAAAGAAGGAUAAAAGAUGAAAGCUGAGCUGUGGAAAGAAAAAUGUUUUUAAUUACACUGAGGAGGAUUGUGGGUCCACCUGUAGCUUUCUGUUGAGAAUGUCUUUGUUUUCUUCUGUCUGCAGGGAUCAUGGCAGGAUACAGACCCAGAAUCUGUCUGGCUUUUUGGAAGGGUCUACAUUGGCCCUUCGGUCCUCUUCAGUUUAUUGGAUACAUUCAGGAUUAACCUCUCUGUGGGCUGUCUUUACUCUGAGGUUCUGUUAUGCUUGCUGAGCAGCCUGGGUUUGGUUGGCGUGCUAACAGAGAUUCCUUUUAGAGGGAAGAAAAAAAAAAAAAGACGCGAUAGUGGAGCACAAGAUGAGGUUUCCAUAGUGUGUCACCAUCACAUUCCUCGUCAGAAGCACACAGGGAGCUCCUCUCAGGCAGUGAGGUGGAGGGAGGCAAGAGCACCCCCAGUAGUCAAGAGACUUGUAUGCUCCAUAUGCCUCAGUUUCUUCACUUGUAAACUGGGCAUCACAGUGUUCUCUUACUAUCCUAUAAUGGUACAUAGUCAAGGUGAAAUUCUUUAGGAAAAUACUGAAUUCUGAAGAAAAGGAACAAUACUAGCACUCUGUUCUCUUGCCAGGUGGCAAACCAACAAAAACCCCUUGAGUAAUUUGAACAAUUUAAAAUAGUUUAAUGUAAUUUAUUCCAUGGUACUCAGGUAAUAUUAGGUUUUGGUGGGUUUGUUUGUUUGUUUUUUUUUUUUAGAAUUCUUUAUAACAAAUUUGAUCAUAUCCCCACCUCUUUCUUGGGAGGUGGGGAUGGGGUAUCAUAGGGUGGAGUGCAGUGGCACGAUCAAGGCUCACUGCAGCCGCAACAUCCUGGGCUCAGGUGAUCCUCCCGCCUCAGCCCUCUGGGUAGCUGGGACUACAGAUGCACACCAAUAUUCUUGGCUAAUUUUUUGUAUUUUUUGGAAGAGACAGUGUCCCGCUAUGUUGCCCAGACUGGUCUUGAACUCUUGGGCUCAAGUGAUCCACCUGCCUCAGCCUCCCAAAGUGUUGGGAUUACAGGUGUGAGCCCCUGCUCCUGGCCCCUUUUUUAUAUUUGUGGUAAAAUUUAAUAAUUCUAAACUUCUUCAAAGUACUUGAUUUUCAUAGGAAUUUUGAAGAAUAUUAUUAGAAAUCAUAUUAAUUUUUAAAAAUCUAAUUCUUAUUAUAAAGUAAUGAGACUGUGCAUAGCUUAUGGUAUCCUGCCAAGCAUUUCACAACAUUUGUUAAAAUUGAUUUGAAAAGAAAUGUGGGGAGAGGGUUGAUCUCCAUAUUACAAAGAGAAGCAAUGUUGAGUAAAGGUUGAAGGUUUGGGCUCUGAAGUCAGAAUAUGGGUUUGAAUCCCAGCCCUACCACUUACUAGCUUUGUAACCUUGAGCAAAUUACCCCUUAGUGUCUACUUCUGGAAAAUGGAAGUGUGCACCUAAUAGGGUCCUUUAAAGGAUUAAGUUGGUAUAUGCAUGUGAGAGGCCUAAAAUUGUGACUUGUACAUAGUUGGCACUCAGCAGAUGUUGGCAUUUUUCUUAGUAAGGCAAGAUAGAAUGUUGCUACAUGAAAGACUGGGGAAUUUCUGACUGACAGCUGUGAAUCCAAGUAGACAGAGCAUGGAUUUGACACCUUUUGUGAAGUGCCAUAGGUGUUUGGACUCUGUAUUCUUGGUACUUUCUGUCUCUAUUGAUGAAGAAUGCAGCUGAAGGCCCACCCUAACCAGGAAGGCAAAGGCAGACAUUCUACCCCGAUCCCCCAGUAAAACACACCUCUGCCAGGGCUGCUCUCCCAUCAACCAGUCACCCUGCAAUCCCAAGGAAGAUUCAGUUCCACAGCCAGCCCAGAGUUGAGGACCUUUUAACAUUCUGCUCUUUGCCUUGUUUGAUUAUGUUAACAGAAAUUCUCAGCCUGUGUGAUUUGUCAUAUUUUAAUAUUUCAAGCCACCAUUGCAGCUUCUUUUAGGUUUGGUUUGUCUGAGGCACCGCAGCGAGUGCAUGAGCACACAGACUUUGAAUUUGUAUAAGUGAAUGGCUCUUCCACUUACUUUGUGGCUUUGGGCUCAUCACUUAACUCAUUGAUAUAAAAUGAGAAUACCCACACUGUAAGGUCCUGGUAGCUAUUAAAAUUUUCUGAAGAACCCUGAAAUCUCUUUGCAACAGAUUUACAACUCACAGGGUACAAUCUUGAUAAUUUUGAUGAUUUAGAUGCAGUGCCUACAUUUAGGAGCUUUGUUUCACCUGCUUCAAUAUGUAUAUCCUAGGAUGGAAUUCAGCUGAUCCUGCAUUUUCCAGUUUUCUGUUGUUGCAUAACAAACCACCCAAAACUUAGUGGCAUAAACAAACAUGCUUACAAAUUCUGUGGGUCAGGAUUUUGACCAGGCACAGCAAGGAUGGCUUAUCUCUGCUUCAUGAUGUCCAUGGCUUCAUCAAGGGGCUACUCUGGGGGCUGAAAUUAUCUGGAAGUUUCUUGGUUCAUGCCACAACUUGGGCUGGGAUGACUUGGAAGACAUGCUAAGCUGGGGAGCUGCCAACUAAGCACUGACUGUGGCCUCUCCAUGUGUCUUGGACUUCUUACAGCUGCGUAGCUGACAGCUACCAAGAGUAAGCGUUCCAAGAGACAGGCAUGUCCUUUUAUGACCUAGCUUUAGGAGUCACGUAGUAUCACUUUCUCUGUACUCCACUAGUAGAAGCCAUCAUAAGCCUACCCAGAUUUAAGCAGUGGGGACAGGGGGACAUGUAGACCCCACCUGCCAAAGGGUAGACCUGUUAAAGAAUUUGUAGGAAAUUUCUAUAAAACCACUACACUAGGAUUAUGGCACCACACUGGGAUUAUGUUUCCAUCUGGGGAUAAAUUAGGGCCGCUGGCUUCUACCUAUAGCAAAGCAGGCCAUACAGACUCUUGCAGCUACUUAAUCUGCCAUUGUAAAAUGAAAGCAGCCGUAAACAAUAUGUAAACAAAUGAUCAUGUUCCAAUAAAUAUUAACAGUAAAAUUAGAAUUUCAUGUAACUACUAAAUAUUAAAAAUAUUCUCCUUUAAAAAACAUUUAAAAGUGUAAGAAUCAUUCUUAGCUCAUGGCCUAUGUAGAAAGAGGCAGUGGACCAGAUUGGAAUAUCUUGAGUUUAGCUAGAUCUGACUCUUCAAAGUUAGAAUCCUCCAAAUGUGUAGAAGAAACCCUUGGGUAUUUCUCAAGUGGAAUUAAGAGUGUGUGUGUGAGAGAGAAGGACAUAUGACUACAAAUUUUGUUUUUAUUUUAAAGUGAAUUUGUGAAGAUAUUUCAAAAUUUAGUUCUUUUAAUUACAUCUUAUGUUCAUUAUGUUACAAAACAUUUAUUCCCAAGGGCAAUAAAGGACUAUGCACUUAAUACUCCUAUGUGGGAAAUUAAUGAUAUUUACUUUAUCAGAAGUCAGGACCUACAAAGAAAAGGUAGAACUUGCUUCUUGAUGGAGCUUCCAGAAAUACAUAUUGUUGUAUAUUUUAAAAAUAAGUAUGUUUUAAAAGAGUUGAUUAUUAGAACAGAAGAUAAGGUUGAUGACUCUCAGGAAUGAAUUUUUAAAAUCUUUAUCACUUCAUUAAAUAUUUUUUCUAUGUCUAUAAUGCCAGGCAGUGUGCUAGAGCCUGAAGAUACAGUGGUGAACAAAAACAUAUAUCGUAUGUUA
This is a long non-coding RNA of Homo sapiens (human), 26979 nucleotides long. RefSeq lists it as uncharacterized. The record is from RefSeq and is a predicted model, not a curated record. Lineage: Eukaryota; Metazoa; Chordata; Mammalia; Primates; Hominidae. The transcript has 2 exons.